CAAACUUGUAAUCAUUCUUGUCAUAGUUGGAGCAGGAAUCGUUCUGUUGGCACAAGGAAAAACAGAGAAUUUUUCAAAUGCUUUUGAUGGCACUGCAACAUCUUUUGGAGCAAUUGGACUUGCAUUUUAUAAUGGGCUUUGGGCUUAUGAUGGAUGGAACCAACUAAAUUUCAUCACAGAAGAGCUAAAA
Long non-coding RNA from Pundamilia nyererei, 190 nucleotides. RefSeq lists it as uncharacterized. NCBI's taxonomy places the organism in Eukaryota, Metazoa, Chordata, Actinopteri, Cichliformes, Cichlidae. The record is from RefSeq and is a predicted model, not a curated record. The transcript has 3 exons.